RNAcentral lists this ribosomal RNA (427 nucleotides) under uncultured bacterium. RNAcentral's name for it is "partial 16S ribosomal RNA". It matches the Rfam family "Bacterial small subunit ribosomal RNA", at positions 355 to 774 of the family's 1533-position model. The record is from RNAcentral.
UGGGGAAUAUUGCACAAUGGGCGCAAGCCUGAUGCAGCCAUGCCGCGUGUAUGAAGAAGGCCUUCGGGUUGUAAAGUACUUUCAGCGGGGAGGAAGGGAGUAAAGUUAAUACCUUUGCUCAUUGACGUUACCCGCAGAAGAAGCACCGGCUAACUCCGUGCCAGCAGCCGCGGUAAUACGGAGGGUGCAAGCGUUAAUCGGAAUUACUGGGCGUAAAGCGCACGCAGGCGGUUUGUUAAGUCAGAUGUGAAAUCCCCGGGCUCAACCUGGGAACUGCGUCUGAUACUGGCAAGCUUGAGUCUCGUAGAGGGGGGUAGAAUUCCAGGUGUAGCGGUGAAAUGCGUAGAGAUCUGGAGGAAUACCGGUGGCGAAGGCGGCCCCCUGGACGAAGACUGACGCUCAGGUGCGAAAGCGUGGGGAGCAAACA